Molecule: ribosomal RNA, 709 nt
Filed under: uncultured bacterium
Lineage: Bacteria
Description: bacterial SSU rRNA
Rfam family: Bacterial small subunit ribosomal RNA
Source: RNAcentral
AGAGUUUGAUCCUGGCUCAGGAUGAACGCUAGCGGCAGGCUUAACACAUGCAAGUCGAGGGGCAGCGAGGGUAGCAAUACCUGUCGGCGACCGGCGCAAGGGUGCGUAACGCGUGAGCAACAUGCCCGUAUCAGGGGGAUAAUCCAGGGAAACUUGGUCUAAUACCCCAUAGUAAAUAUUGGAGGCAUCUUCGAUAUUUUAAAGCUUUGGUGGAUACGGAUUGGCUCGCGUGACAUUAGCUAGAUGGUGGGGUAACGGCUCACCAUGGCUACGAUGUCUAGGGGUUCUGAGAGGAAGGUCCCCCACACUGGUACUGAGACACGGACCAGACUCCUACGGGAGGCAGCAGUGAGGAAUAUUGGACAAUGGAUGGAAAUCUGAUCCAGCCAUGCCGCGUGCAGGAAGACGGCCCUAUGGGUUGUAAACUGCUUUUGUAUGGGAGCAAUAAGGACUACGUGUAGUUUGAUGAGAGUACCAUACGAAUAAGCAUCGGCUAACUCCGUGCCAGCAGCCGCGGUAAUACGGAGGAUGCGAGCGUUAUCCGGAUUUAUUGGGUUUAAAGGGUGCGUAGGCGGCGAUAUAAGUCAGUGGUGAAAUAUUUCGGCUUAACCGAGAGACUGCCAUUGAUACUGUGUUGCUAGAAUAUGGUUGCUGUGAGUGGAAUGUGUGGUGUAGCGGUGAAAUGCUUAGAUAUCACACAGAAUAUCGA